UCGAAUUUUGUUUCUCUUCUGUGUUAGGUA
This 30-nucleotide non-coding RNA is filed under the name Rattus norvegicus (Norway rat). Lineage: Eukaryota; Metazoa; Chordata; Mammalia; Rodentia; Muridae. The record is from RNAcentral.